RNAcentral lists this ribosomal RNA (465 nucleotides) under uncultured bacterium. RNAcentral's name for it is "partial 16S ribosomal RNA". It matches the Rfam family "Bacterial small subunit ribosomal RNA", at positions 28 to 507 of the family's 1533-position model. The record is from RNAcentral.
GACGAACGCUGGCGGCGUGCUUAACACAUGCAAGUCGAACGGAAAGGCCCUGCUUGCAGGGUACUCGAGUGGCGAACGGGUGAGUAACACGUGGGUGAUCUGCCCUACACUUCGGGAUAAGCCUGGGAAACUGGGUCUAAUACCGGAUAGGAGCCAUUUUUAGUGUGAUGGUUGGAAAGUUUUUUCGGUGUAGGAUGAGCUCGCGGCCUAUCAGCUUGUUGGUGGGGUAAUGGCCUACCAAGGCGGCGACGGGUAGCCGGCCUGAGAGGGUGGACGGCCACAUUGGGACUGAGAUACGGCCCAGACUCCUACGGGAGGCAGCAGUGGGGAAUAUUGCACAAUGGGCGCAAGCCUGAUGCAGCGACGCCGCGUGGGGGAUGACGGCCUUCGGGUUGUAAACUCCUUUCGCUAGGGACGAAGCUUUUUGUGACGGUACCUAGAUAAGAAGCACCGGCUAACUACGUG